RNAcentral lists this ribosomal RNA (415 nucleotides) under uncultured crenarchaeote. Its description in RNAcentral is "partial 16S ribosomal RNA". It matches the Rfam family "Archaeal small subunit ribosomal RNA", at positions 330 to 747 of the family's 1478-position model. Lineage: Archaea; Thermoproteati; Thermoproteota. The record is from RNAcentral.
GUGCAGCAGUCGCGAAAACUCCGCAAUACACGAAAGCGUGACGGGGCCAUCCCGAGUGCCGUCCGCUGAGGAUGGCUUUUCCCUAGUGUAGACAGCUGGGGGAAUAAGGAGAGGGCAAGUCUGGUGUCAGCCGCCGCGGUAAUACCAGCUCUUCGAGUGGUAGGGAUGUUUAUUGGGCCUGAAGCAUCCGUAGCUGGCUGUGCAAGUCCUCUGUUAAAUCCAGCGAUUUAAUCGUUGGAUUGCGGGGGAUACUGUUCGGCUAGGGGGCGGGAGAAGCCGACGGUAUUCUUGGGGUAGGGGUAAAAUCCUAUAAUCCCGGGAGGACCACCAGUGGCGAAGGCUGUCGGCUAGAACACGCCCGACAGUGAGGGAUGAAAGCUGGGGGAGCGAACCGGAUUAGAUACCCGGGUAGUCC